AUGCCCAGGAAAUCCCGGGUGCAGAAGGCUGCCUGGGGGACAGCCCUUCUCUUCCGGGCACCAGCCGGACUCCGACAGAUGAGGACCCCAGACGCCUGCUGCCUGGAUCGGACAGCGUGCAGCCAAACCCCCCUCCCCUGCUCCCCAACGCCCGCAGGCCCACCACCGAGCGUGUUGAUACUUGGGGCUGAAGACUCCCCCCGUGGGAAAACCGGAAGCCCUGGGAAGGCACACAGUGUAAUCAAAAGUGAGGCAUUUGAACCCCACAGUGAAGGAGUAUCCAGUCUUUUCCAGAGAGCAAGGAGAGAAGAGAGAAAUCCUAUGCUCCGGGCACCUGGGGCGGCCAACCCCCCUCCCCUCCCCUCCCUUGCCUACUGGCAGUGCUCUCACCCCCGGACUCUCGCAUUUCCAGGUGUCUGCCCGGGCCAGGCCGGGUGCUGGGUGCAGCUAGCCAGAUCUGCGAGAUGCUCUUGUCCCCUCCGGGAAGGCGGGAACGAAAGCACAGCACCAGUGGGGGGCGUGAGGGGCGUUUGGGGCAGGCGCCUCGCGGUCCUGCGGGAGCCGGAGCAUUCCCUCUACUGGGGAGUCCGCCAGGUUCUCUCAACAGGGAGAUGGGCCUGGCGCUCGGAGGGUUGGGGGCGUGCUCCCGGCAGGGGGAGCGGGAAAGUUCUGCAAGUGAAAGAACGCAAAGCCAAGAUUGAGGACAAAAUCUAACAGUGAUUCGGAAUGAGGAGAGAAACCACAACAAAUCCAGUACUUCAGAGCCCGGAGACAUUACCAAGUUCAGGAAAGUCAGAAAAAGAACAUCAUAUUUUGAUUAACAGAAUGCCUGGCUUCUACCUGAAAUACUCGCCUCCUGUAUUUUUUGUACGCAUAACCUUUGACGGCCUCUGCAUGUGACAAUGAGCUGGUGGGCGGUGCGAUUGGCCUUUUUUUGGGGGGGGGGUAGAGAGAAUCGGCCUUUCCUCCAGCCGGAUGGAUCAGAAAAAAGUGUUGUCGUGAUAAUGUCACCACCUAUUAUUGGUGAAGUUAAGUACAUUUUUAGGAUGGUUACUGAUUUGAAAACCACUGUCAAGGACCUUUCACAUGUGAACUGUAAGAUUUCAAGGCACUUCAAAGGGGUUGUUUUUUUGGGGGGGGGUGGGGGAGAGGGCUGCAAGGACUUGUCUUAAAUGCUCCUUAAACUGAUGGUGCCCUGUCUCAAAAAUAAAUAAAUGUUAAAAAAAAAAAAAUUAAAAAAA
Molecule: long non-coding RNA, 1241 nt
Filed under: Felis catus (domestic cat)
Lineage: Eukaryota; Metazoa; Chordata; Mammalia; Carnivora; Felidae
Description: lncRNA (ENSFCAG00000048824.1)
Source: RNAcentral